This 226-nucleotide unclassified non-coding RNA is filed under the name Hevea brasiliensis (rubber tree). Lineage: Eukaryota; Viridiplantae; Streptophyta; Magnoliopsida; Malpighiales; Euphorbiaceae. The record is from RNAcentral.
UGUUGUGUAACUGGGAAUGGAGUUUGGGACUGGAUAUGCCAGCGGUUAUCUGAAGGCGGCGCUGGCAAUAGUUGGGAGGGGAAAUGUUGUGUAACUGGGAAUGGAGUUUGGGAGGUUCAGCCGAGGAAUGGCGGAGUCCGGUGAAGGACUUGAAGGCGAUGGAGGAAGUCAUUCUGGUCUUAGGUGUGAAAUUUUUGGUGGAGCUAACUGUGAAAUGUGAAGCGAG